UGAGUAAUGUCUGGGAAACUGCCCGAUGGAGGGGGAUAACUACUGGAAACGGUAGCUAAUACCGCAUAACGUCGCAAGACCAAAGUGGGGGACCUUCGGGCCUCACACCAUCGGAUGUGCCCAGAUGGGAUUAGCUAGUAGGUGGGGUAAUGGCUCACCUAGGCGACGAUCCCUAGCUGGUCUGAGAGGAUGACCAGCCACACUGGAACUGAGACACGGUCCAGACUCCUACGGGAGGCAGCAGUGGGGAAUAUUGCACAAUGGGCGCAAGCCUGAUGCAGCCAUGCCGCGUGUAUGAAGAAGGCCUUCGGGUUGUAAAGUACUUUCAGCGGGGAGGAAGGCGGUGGAGUUAAUAGCUUCACCGAUUGACGUUACCCGCAGAAGAAGCACCGGCUAACUCCGUGCCAGCAGCCGCGGUAAUACGGAGGGUGCAAGCGUUAAUCGGAAUUACUGGGCGUAAAGCGCACGCAGGUGGUCUGUCAAGUCGGAUGUGAAAUCCCCGGG
Molecule: ribosomal RNA, 504 nt
Filed under: uncultured bacterium
Lineage: Bacteria
Description: bacterial SSU rRNA
Rfam family: Bacterial small subunit ribosomal RNA
Source: RNAcentral